Molecule: long non-coding RNA, 303 nt
Filed under: Mytilus galloprovincialis (Mediterranean mussel)
Lineage: Eukaryota; Metazoa; Mollusca; Bivalvia; Mytilida; Mytilidae
Rfam family: Histone 3' UTR stem-loop (bases 149-194)
Source: RNAcentral
UUGCACUCGAGUUACCUCCCGUGCAAAUGACGUCACAGACGUAAAUAAACAAGAUGGCAGCGUUCACGUUACACUGACAGCCCAUCGAGAGACGAGAAAAUAAGGCUUUGGAAAUGAAUAGAGUGCCAGCAGCCGAUGUUAUCUCCUCUAAACGGUCCUUUUCAGGGCCAUUAAUAUUUUACGAAAAUUCACCUUUUGUACAUCCGAGAAAUUCUAGAACACAAACAUGACAAAUAUAUUUUCCUGAGCUAUUUUCAAACGUCAGCUUGUGUUUGUUAUGUAAAAAAUAUAGUGUUCAAAAUG